UNGAGACACCACACUGCCUGGAAAAGCCUCCA
Molecule: non-coding RNA, 32 nt
Filed under: Mus musculus (house mouse)
Lineage: Eukaryota; Metazoa; Chordata; Mammalia; Rodentia; Muridae
Source: RNAcentral